RNAcentral lists this transfer RNA (73 nucleotides) under Ovis aries (sheep). It matches the Rfam family "tRNA". Rfam says of the family: Transfer RNA (tRNA) molecules are approximately 80 nucleotides in length. Their secondary structure includes four short double-helical elements and three loops (D, anti-codon, and T loops). Lineage: Eukaryota; Metazoa; Chordata; Mammalia; Artiodactyla; Bovidae. The record is from Rfam by way of RNAcentral.
UCCGUGGUGGUCCAGUGGUUAAGACCCUGUGCUUUCACUGCAAGGGGUUCGGGUUCAAUCCCUGAUCAGGGAA